Molecule: ribosomal RNA, 408 nt
Filed under: uncultured Lactobacillus sp.
Lineage: Bacteria; Bacillati; Bacillota; Bacilli; Lactobacillales; Lactobacillaceae
Description: bacterial SSU rRNA
Rfam family: Bacterial small subunit ribosomal RNA
Source: RNAcentral
CGGAACUAACAGAUUUACUUCGGUAAUGACGUUAGGAAAGCGAGCGGCGGAUGGGUGAGUAACACGUGGGGAACCUGCCCCAUAGUCUGGGAUACCACUUGGAAACAGGUGCUAAUACCGGAUAAGAAAGCAGAUCGCAUGAUCAGCUUUUAAAAGGCGGCGUAAGCUGUCGCUAUGGGAUGGCCCCGCGGUGCAUUAGCUAGUUGGUAAGGUAAAGGCUUACCAGGGCGAUGAUGCAUAGCCGAGUUGAGAGACUGAUCGGCCACAUUGGGACUGAGACACGGCCCAAACUCCUACGGGAGGCAGCAGUAGGGAAUCUUCCACAAUGGACGCAAGUCUGAUGGAGCAACGCCGCGUGAGUGAAGAAGGUUUUCGGAUCGUAAAGCUCUGUUGUUGGUGAAGAAGGAU